Molecule: long non-coding RNA, 2155 nt
Organism: Myotis daubentonii (Daubenton's bat)
Lineage: Eukaryota; Metazoa; Chordata; Mammalia; Chiroptera; Vespertilionidae
Source: RefSeq, a predicted model, not a curated record
AGCAGCGGUUCUCAACCUGUGGGUCGCGACCCCUUUGGGGGUCGCCUAAGACCAUCGGAAAACACAUAUAUCAUUACAUAUUGUUUUUGUGAUUAAUCACUAUGCUUUAAUUAUGUUCAAUUUGUAACAAUGAAAAUACAUCCUGCAUAUCAGAUAUUUACAACACGAUUCAUAACAGUAGCAACAUUACAGUUAUGAAGUAGCAACGAAAAUAAUUUUAUGGCUGGGGGUCACCACAACAUGAGGAACUGUAUUAAAGGGUCGCAGCAUUAGGAAGGUUGAGAACCACUGCUUUAGAGUAAUGGGGUCCUCUCAUUUGGCACUGUGAAAUGUACAUUAUUAAUGAGAUUUAAAUUAAUAAAAAUAUUAAAAGAGAAUGUACACCUCACUAUGAUAAGCACUAUUCUUUUUUGGCUGUUAAUUCUCACCAGAGGGUAUUUUCCCAUUGUUUUUAGAUAGAAACAUCGAUGUGAAGAGACACAUCAAUUGAUUGCCUCCCGCACACAGCACUGCUUGAGUUUCUCACAACAUGGUGGCUGGAUUCCCCCAGAAAGAGAUCCAGUGGACCGAGGCAAAAGCAGAAAUGGCAUUCCUGACUUAGUCUCGGAAAUCAUCCGGUCACCUACACGGUGCUCUUGGUCACAAAUACCAGCUCCGCGUCGGUGUGGGAGGAGAGAACACAUGAGCUUGAACACCAGGAGAGUUCUCUGCAGAAGGCGGGGGAGAGGAGUAAAGAAUAUAAUUGCUGACCAGGGAAAGAGGUUAAUCUCAGCUAUCAUCAGACCAAGAGAAGAUAAAUCUACAAAAACCCUAAAAGCCCAGGCAGGUCACAGCCAUGCUUAAGCACACACAGAAGAUUGUUGUCAUUCUUGGCACCGGGCAGUAGAAGUAGCAAGACAUGCGGGCCAGGCGCCAGAGGCGGAAUGUCCCUCCACCUGUUUUGUGCUGUAAGACAGACUUCCAGGGGCGAGGCGGUUGGAGGGCUGUGUCCUGGAGCGGCAGCUGAAUGCGCCAGCAGGACCCUUGGCAGCAGGGCCUGGGCACUGAGGCUGGGCAUUCAGGAGAGCUAAAUGCAGAAAAGAAACUUGAGCAAACUGCUUCCUGGUAUUCUGAGGACCUGAAUGGGAAAUGAAAACGUACCAGAUUCUCGCUGUUCUUACACAGCCAAGAAAAGUGUUACUGCUGUGUUCCGCUCUUGCUUGCAAAGUUCCCCCAUCCCAAAGUAACAGCUUCAUACCAGUCCAGCACAGCCAUGGCAGAGAGGUUCCUCUAGGAAGACGGGUGACUUAUUCUAAAUCUCCAAGGGACAGCUCCUUAGGUGGGAGGGCGGAAUGUGCCAGCGCGCUUGUUGACCAUGUCCCGUGCGAUGUCAUGUGAACAAAAAGCUGGGGCUAAAGUCUGGCCUCUCCGGCCUGGCACAUACAAACCCCGCCACUCAGCGGGCCCCCUGGCCUGGGAGAACUUGCGGCAGGAAGGGCUCCUCCAGACUUGAGCACGCAUUACCUGAGGAGGUGGGCAGGCAGCAGGAGGGGCAGCAGGCGCAGGCUGUUGUGAAUUUUGUGCUGUGUGCCUAUUGCCUUCUGGAACCCGGGAUUACAACCUAGAAGCCUAGCAGUUUGGGAGAAUUCCUGCAGCAACUUUCAGUUUUUCAGGAAGCGCAAAAGUAAUUGUUUACUCAAAAUGAAACCUCAAGGAUGACUCUUAGUUAGAAAAAAAAAAUCUUGACUCUGGCUUCCUCUUAAGAAAAUAAAUUCGUUAUUAUGGAACAAAUGUGUUUGCCUAUAAACAAAGUCUUUCAAAACAGACCUUCUAUGGGGACAGUCCUUUUAAAAGGGGUUUUCAGUGGGAAGUAGAAUAAAACAUACUGUGCUAGAGAAGUGUUUAAGGGGUGUAAUUUUCCCAAUUAUUUUCAUUAAAAACUGACAAACAGUGGCUAUCCUCCCAUUAUACUCCGCAUCUAAUUCAUGGAAGUACUGGAGACUUGAAAAGACUGCCCCGGGAGAGGCCCUGGAAAGUUCGAGGCCCCUGCGUCUGCAGGGACUUCCUUGCGGAGUGUCCCAGAUCCGAGACCUUGCCUCUUGGCCAGGGCUGCAGGGAAUGGUAGCAACCAGUAGAGGCAGACCUUGCUGGGCUGGGAGCUGGGAGCGCUGUCAUG